Molecule: long non-coding RNA, 1032 nt
Filed under: Gossypium barbadense (sea-island cotton)
Lineage: Eukaryota; Viridiplantae; Streptophyta; Magnoliopsida; Malvales; Malvaceae
Description: long non-coding RNA (GBAR_LNC016450)
Source: RNAcentral
UAAAAACCAUUUUCUUUCUUUCUUUGAAGUUGCGCCGUAUCUCUGCCCUCAAAACCCUUCCCCUGCUCCAAUGGCAACGAAAUGAAGGGGCUUCAACGAUGCCACUCCGGUAAGUUUCCCUCUACUCCCUUUCUUUAUUCUUUUUUUUUUGUUUUUAUAAACGAAAGAAAAACAAAAACAAAGUAAAAACAGUAAAAAACAAAAGGAAAAACAAAAUCUAACACCUUCAAAAAUAAGUUUUUCUACUGUAAUUUCUUUUUUAAUUUUCAAUACAAAAUUUUGCUAACCCCCAUUACAUAAAUCCAUCCGCUUUUUAUAUCCCCUAUCCCUUUUUACAAUUUUCUGUCUGUACUCCUAUUUGGAUCUAUUUUUCCGCAGGUAUGGAGAUCGUGAAAGGGGUGCGUCGGGGUUGCUGAACGUGCGAGCAACGACGUGCGUGGAAACGGUUGUUGCGACGCCAAAGCUAGGAAGAAGACUGCUGCUAAGGUUUGUUGUUCUUUGAAAAUUUUGGGCUGUACAGGGUUAUUGAUUUGGGCUUUAUUGGGUUAGGUUAAAUUUAGUUUUAGGCUAAUGUAAUUGGGUUACAAUUUGGGCUUGUUAUUUGUUUUUUUAACCAAGACAAAAUUGGCCUAUUACAUUAGGCAUGAUUCUUAUCUAGUGAAUACUACUCUAAAAAAGAAGCAGUGUUCUUAUCUCCCAAUAGAUAAAUGAUUUUUAAUAUACCAACCACUUUGUAGAGACCUUUAAUUGGUGCUUCAAGAUAUAUAUAACUAACUAUAUUCCUAAUCUUUCUUCUAGUACACUUACUAAAUGAUGAACUUAAUUGAUGAUUCUUGUAUGCAAAUCAUAUUUCAUAUCGUAUUAUUUUUAUAAAUCUUUAUCCCAAAUAUGACUACAAUUAUUCUCACUUCUAACCUCAGUUUAAGUCUUUAAUGGCUUUUAAUGGAGCUUGGAGCAAUGUGAUCUGAAGAAUGAUUUGAAGAUUACUGCCAUAUUCAUAUUGUACCCAUGAUAAACACUUCUUUACCUCGA